UGGAUCCAGACUUUGAUUCUGGCUCAGGAUGAACGCUAGCUACAGGCUUAACACAUGCAAGUCGAGGGGCAGCAUGAAGUCAGCUUGCUGACUUUGAUGGCGACCGGCGCACGGGUGAGUAACGCGUAUCCCACCUGCCCAUCACUGGGGAAUAACCUUGCGAAAGGAAGACUAAUGCCCCAUGGUUUUCCAAGCGGACAUCCAAAUGGAAAUAAAGAUUUAUCGGUGAUGGAUGGGGAUGCGUCCGAUUAGCUUGUUGGCGGGGUAACGGCCCACCAAGGCUACGAUCGGUAGGGGUUCUGAGAGGAAGGUCCCCCACAUUGGAACUGAGACACGGUCCAAACUCCUACGGGAGGCAGCAGUGAGGAAUAUUGGUCAAUGGACGGGAGUCUGAACCAGCCAAGUAGCGUGCAGGAUGACGGCCCUAUGGGUUGUAAACUGCUUUUAUAGGGGAAUAAAGUUCGGGUCGUGACCCGUUUUGCAUGUACCCUAUGAAUAAGGACCGGCUAAUUCCGUGCCAGCAGCCGCGGUAAUACGGAAGGUCCCGGCGUUAUCCGGAUUUAUUGGGUUUAAAGGGAGCGUAGGCCGGAUGUUAAGCGUGUUGUGAAAUGCCGCGGCUCAACCGUGGCACUGCAGCGCGAACUGGCAUUCUUGGGUGCGCACAAGGCAGGCGGAAUUCGUGGUGUAGCGGUGAAAUGCUUAGAUAUCACGAAGAACCCCGAUUGCGAAGGCAGCCUGCCGGGGCGUAACUGACGCUGAAGCUCGAAAGCGUGGGUAUCGAACAGGAUUAGAUACCCUGGUAGUCCACGCGGUAAACGAUGGAUGCCCGCUGUUUGCACGUUAGUGUGAGCGGCCAAGCGAAAGCAUUAAGCAUCCCACCUGGGGAGUACGCCGGCAACGGUGCAACUCAAAUGAAUUGACGGA
RNAcentral lists this ribosomal RNA (924 nucleotides) under uncultured Bacteroidota bacterium. Its description in RNAcentral is "bacterial SSU rRNA". It matches the Rfam family "Bacterial small subunit ribosomal RNA", at positions 1 to 917 of the family's 1533-position model. Lineage: Bacteria; Pseudomonadati; Bacteroidota. The record is from RNAcentral.